RNAcentral lists this ribosomal RNA (423 nucleotides) under uncultured bacterium. Its description in RNAcentral is "bacterial SSU rRNA". It matches the Rfam family "Bacterial small subunit ribosomal RNA", at positions 355 to 770 of the family's 1533-position model. The record is from RNAcentral.
UGGGGAAUAUUGGACAAUGGGCGCAAGCCUGAUCCAGCCAUGCCGCGUGGGUGAAGAAGGCCUUCGGGUUGUAAAGCCCUUUUGUUGGGGAAGAAAUCGUGCAGGUGAAUAUCCUGCGCGGAUGACGGUACCCAAAGAAUAAGCACCGGCUAACUUCGUGCCAGCAGCCGCGGUAAUAAGAAGGGUGCAAGCGUUACUCGGAAUUACUGGGCGUAAAGCGUGCGUAGGCGGUUCGUUAAGUCCGUUGUGAAAGCCCUGGGCUCAACCUGGGAAUUGCAGUUGAUACUGGCGAGCUAGAGUACGGUAGAGGAUGGUGGAAUUCCCGGUGUGGCGGUGAAAUGCGUAGAGAUCGGGAGGAACACCCGUGGCGAAGGAGGCCAUCUGGACCAGUACUGACGCUGAGGCACGAAAGCGUGGGGAGCA